This 301-nucleotide ribosomal RNA is filed under the name uncultured bacterium. RNAcentral's name for it is "partial 16S ribosomal RNA". It matches the Rfam family "Bacterial small subunit ribosomal RNA", at positions 509 to 807 of the family's 1533-position model. The record is from RNAcentral.
CAGUAGCCACGGUAAUACGGAGGGUGCAAGCGUUAAUCGGAAUUACUGUGCGUAAAGCGCACGCAGGCGGUCUGACAAGUCAGAUGUGAAAUCCCCGGGCUUAACCUGGGAACUGCAUUUGAAACUGUCAGGCUGGAGUCUUGUAGAGGGGGGUAGAAUUCCAGGUGUAGCGGUGAAAUGCGUAGAGAUCUGGAGGAAUACCGGUGGCGAAGGCGGCCCCCUGGACAAAGACUGACGCUCAGGUGCGAAAGCGUGGGGAGCAAACAGGAUUAGAUACCCCAGUAGUCCCUGUCUCUUAUAC